Molecule: long non-coding RNA, 271 nt
Filed under: Amphimedon queenslandica
Lineage: Eukaryota; Metazoa; Porifera; Demospongiae; Haplosclerida; Niphatidae
Description: uncharacterized LOC109588851
Source: RNAcentral
CUGAAAAGGUCUAAAUGAGUGUUUUGUUCAUUUGUGUCACUUAAGCGACAGAGUGCCAAAAAAGCGAAAUGGAAAUCAUGCAUGAUGCUCUCAUUAGCUCUUGUUGUUCACAGAGACUCGUGGCAGGAAUGACACACGAGUGAUAUGCAUUGUGUUGGAUUUGGUGACUGUUAUGUUGGAGUGUGGCGUGAAGAGACUUGGGGACAUUAAAUCACUGAGAGUUCUCAUGCAAGACGGACUCUGCCAUCACUUACUUACUGUAAAUGAGCAA